Molecule: ribosomal RNA, 1004 nt
Filed under: Halomonas sp. LAMA 704
Lineage: Bacteria; Pseudomonadati; Pseudomonadota; Gammaproteobacteria; Oceanospirillales; Halomonadaceae
Description: bacterial SSU rRNA
Rfam family: Bacterial small subunit ribosomal RNA
Source: RNAcentral
CAGAUCCAGCUUGCUGGAUGCUGACGAGCGGCGGACGGGUGAGUAAUGCAUAGGAAUCUGCCCGAUAGUGGGGGAUAACCUGGGGAAACCCAGGCUAAUACCGCAUACGUCCUACGGGAGAAAGGGGGCUCCGGCUCCCGCUAUGGGAUGAGCCUAUGUCGGAUUAUCUAGUUGGUGAGGUAACGGCUCACCAAGGCCACGAUCCGUAGCUGGUCUGAGAGGAUGAUCAGCCACAUCGGGACUGAGACACGGCCCGAACUCCUACGGGAGGCAGCAGUGGGGAAUAUUGGACAAUGGGGGAAACCCUGAUCCAGCCAUGCCGCGUGUGUGAAGAAGGGCCUCGGGUUGUAAAGCACUUUCAGCGAGGAAGAACGCCUAGCGGUUAAUACCCGCUAGGAAAGACAUCACUCGCAUAAGAAGCACCGGCUAACUCCGUGCCAGCAGCCGCGGUAAUACGGAGGGUGCAAGCGUUAAUCGGAAUUACUGGGCGUAAAGCGCGCGUAGGUGGCUUGAUAAGUCGGUUGUGAAAGCCACGGGCUCAACCUGGGAACGGCAUCGGGAACUGUCAAGCUAGAGUGCAGGAGAGGAAGGUAGAAUUCCCGGUGUAGCGGUGAAAUGUGUAGAGAUCGGGAGGAAUACCAGUGGCCAAGGCGCCGUUAUGGACUGACACUGACACUGAGGUGUGAAAGCGUGGUUAGCAAACAGGAUUAGAUACCGUGGUAGCUCCACGCCGUAAACGAUGUCGUCCAGCCGUUGGGUGCCUAGCGCACUUUGUGGCGAAGUUAACGCGAUAAGUCGACCGCCUGGGGAGUACGGCCGCAAGGUUAAAACUCAAAUGAAUUGACGGGGGCCCGCACAAGCGGUGGAGCAUGUGGUUUAAUUCGAUGCAACGCGAAGAACCUUACCUACUCUUGACAUCCUGUGAAUUUGGUAGGGAUACGUUAGGCCUUCGGGAACGCAGAGACAGGUGCUGCAUGGCUGUCGUCAGCUCGUGUUGUGAAAUG